CCUACGGGAGGCAGCAGUGGGGAAUAUUGGGCAAUGGACGCAAGUCUGACCCAGCAACGCCGCGUGAAGGAAGAAGGCUUUCGGGUUGUAAACUUCUUUUAAGGGGGAAGAGCAGAAGACGGUACCCCUUGAAUAAGCUACGGCUAACUACGUGCCAGCAGCCGCGGUAAUACGUAGGUGGCAAGCGUUGUCCGGAUUUACUGGGUGUAAAGGGCGUGAAGCCGGAGAGACAAGUCAGAUGUGAAAUCCACGGGCUCAACCCUUGAACUGCAAUUGAAACUGUUACCCUUGAGUGUCGGAGAGGGAAUCGGAAUUCCUGGUGUAGCGGUGAAAUGCGUAGAUAUAAGGAAGAACACCGGUGGCGAAGGCAGAUUACUGGACGAUAACUGACAGUGAGGCGCGAAAGCGUGGGGAGCAAACAGGAUUAGAUACCCUAGUAGUC
This 442-nucleotide ribosomal RNA is filed under the name uncultured bacterium. Its description in RNAcentral is "partial 16S ribosomal RNA". It matches the Rfam family "Bacterial small subunit ribosomal RNA", at positions 338 to 795 of the family's 1533-position model. The record is from RNAcentral.